CCUACGGGUGGCAGCAGUGGGGCAUAUUGGGCAAUGGAGGCAACUCUUACCCAGCAAUGCCGCGUGAAUGAAGAAGGUCUUCGGAUUGUAAAGUUCUUUAAUUAGGGACGAAAAAAAUGAUGGUAGCCAAGGAAUAAGCGCCGGCUAACUACGUGCCAGCAGCCGCGGUAAUCCGUAGGGGGCAUGCGUUGUGAGGAAUGACUGGGCGUAAAGGGUGUGUAGGCGGUGUAGCAAGUUAGAAGUGGAAUGCCUAGAGCUUAACUCAGGUGCUGCUUCUAAAACUGGUAUACUUGAGUGCAGUAGAGGAAAGUGGAAUUCCUAGUGUAGCGGUGGAAUGCGUAGAUAUUAGGAGGAACAUCAGUGGCGAAGGCGACUUUCUGGACUGUAACUGACGCUGAGGCACGAAAGUGUGGGGAGCAAACAGGAUUAGAUACCCCUGUAGUC
RNAcentral lists this ribosomal RNA (444 nucleotides) under uncultured bacterium. RNAcentral's name for it is "partial 16S ribosomal RNA". It matches the Rfam family "Bacterial small subunit ribosomal RNA", at positions 338 to 795 of the family's 1533-position model. The record is from RNAcentral.